Unclassified non-coding RNA from Cavia porcellus (domestic guinea pig), 97 nucleotides. It matches the Rfam family "Y RNA". From Rfam's summary of the family: Y RNAs are components of the Ro ribonucleoprotein particle (Ro RNP), in association with Ro60 and La proteins. The Y RNAs and Ro60 and La proteins are well conserved, but the function of the Ro RNP is not known. The record is from Ensembl. Lineage: Eukaryota; Metazoa; Chordata; Mammalia; Rodentia; Caviidae.
GGCUGUUCCGCUGGCAGUGUGUUAUCAGAACUUAUUAACAUUAGUGUCACUAAAGUUAGUAUACAACCCCCCCACUGCUAAAUUUGACCGGCUUUUA